Molecule: ribosomal RNA, 458 nt
Filed under: uncultured Anaeroplasma sp.
Lineage: Bacteria; Bacillati; Mycoplasmatota; Mollicutes; Anaeroplasmatales; Anaeroplasmataceae
Description: bacterial SSU rRNA
Rfam family: Bacterial small subunit ribosomal RNA
Source: RNAcentral
ACGGAAGGCAGCAGUAGGGAAUUUUCGGCAAUGGGGGCAACCCUGACCGAGCAACGCCGCGUGAUUGAUGAAGUAUUUCGGUAUGUAAAAAUCUUUUAUAAGGGACGAACGAUAUGAUCAGGAAAUGGGUCGUAUGUGACUGUACCUUUUGAAUAAGCUCCGGCUAACUACGUGCCAGCAGCCGCGGUAAUACGUAGGGAGCAAGCGUUAUCCGGAAUUAUUGGGCGUAAAGGGUGCGUAGGCGGCAAAUUAAGUCUGAGGUAAAAGUGCGGAGCUUAACUCCGUGAUGCCUUGGAUACUGGUUAGCUAGAGUAUGGUAGAGGCAAGUGGAACUCCAUGUGUAGCGGUAAAAUGUGUAAAUAUAUGGAAGAACACCAGUGGCGAAGGCGGCUUGCUGGGCCAAAACUGACGCUGAGGCACGAAAGCGUGGGGAGCAAACAGGAUUAGAUACCCUGGUA